GUUUAUGGCGUUAGUUUAUCGUUUACAUCAGUGUUGCCAUCAGCUGUUGCCCUUUUACGUAGUGGUUUAUUAUCUAAUAUAAUUAAAAUUUGGAUUCGUAGUGUAUACGAAUUAUGUUUACUUUAACCGUUGCAUUAAUUAUUCAGUUGCAAGCAAUGCAUUAACGAAACGUACGAGUGUUAAGACAUUUCGAACGAGAACUAGUACAUUUUUGAGGUUAGAUGAUUAAACGAUCCACAAAACAAUCGCGUAUUUCCGAUAAAAACACUGUAUUUCGAUCAUAACUGAUGAAGAGGCGGUAGGAAUCUUUUGAGCCUUAAAAUAUGGCGGAUUACUGGAAAUCCCAAGGACGCAAGUUCUGUGAUUUCUGCAAGUGUUGGAUCGCCGACAACAAACCUAGCAUCGAUUUUCAUGAAGGCGGCAAGAAACACAAGGAGAAUGUUAGCAAACGGCUUAAAGAGAUACACAAGAACAGCGCGAAACAGGCGAAGCAGAAUAAGAAAAUUGAAAAUGACAUCAAAAAGAUGGAAAACGCAGCCAUGGCCGCUUACUUGAAAGAUGUGGAGAACAACACGAGAGACCUAACCGCUGACAGGAUCAUCCAGGAAAAGGCGAAUAAGAGAGACAAGAAAGAUAAUUCCGAUCAUGCGUCAACAGCCAAUCGAGACACGGCACCUAAGGAUAAGUACAGAAUUGACAAUCAACAGUUUUCCCAAGAAAUCGACCCAUGCGACCCAAUUCUAUCGAGAGGUACGACGACGCCGCAUCAUACCAAGUUUCAACAAAAAGGCGAGAACAAGAGUCAAGGAAAGAGCAAAGCGGGCAAAGGAAAAGGAAAAGGGAAAAAAAUUGUGGAAGAGGAUCGUCCCACGAAACCCGUCCAUAAAGUUUGGUACGAAGCUCUGAGUCCCGAAGGAUACACUUACUAUUGGAAUGUCGAAACCAAUGAAUCUGUUUGGGAAGUACCCGAAGAAGGGUACAUGACGUUUGCCGAGCAGGAAGAAGAAGCGAAAGAGCAGGCUAUUCAGGAAGAAUUGCUGAAGCAAUUGGAAAUAGAAGAAGCGGUCGCGAACGCGGAUAUUCUCGAAGAGAAGCGAGCCAACGCCGAAAGAGAGAGGCUGAAAGAGCUGAGAAAAGCGAGUAGCGCUCAACCGAGUGCGGAAUCCACCGAACAGGAUAAAAACGCGAAAACGGUCGAGGAAGAAAGACCGUACAGAAGGGACUACAGCAUCCCUGAAAAAUCACAUCCUUACGGUCCGUGGCAAACCGUUCGGAAAAUAGAAACGAAACCGGUGGAUUUACAGUUGCCGCAACAGAAGCAAGUACCGCUGCCCGUUUUCGAGAAAGCGGAACCACCUACUGCCCAAAGAACGUUCAAGGAAAAACAGAUCACAAGGAUCGACGCGGGGGACAGUGACGACGAGAGGCAACCGACUACGUUCAAAAAGCGAAAGAUUGGCAAUAAGAGCGUGCGAAAACGAUUGGACGAUGAUCAAUGACUGCUCGUUCUGAUCAUAAGAUCUCUUUUGAUACAAUGGCGCGACGACGGAAAAUCGGCGCGUAGGACUGGGAUAUUUGUACUCAAAACUCCACCUUACUCGAAUACGAACGAUUCGAUCGUUUCAACGAUCGUUUAGCAGUCCUCGAUCGAUUCACGAUUUUCUUC
Megachile rotundata (alfalfa leafcutting bee) is the source of this 1666-nucleotide unclassified non-coding RNA. The record is from RefSeq and is a predicted model, not a curated record. NCBI's taxonomy places the organism in Eukaryota, Metazoa, Arthropoda, Insecta, Hymenoptera, Megachilidae.